Molecule: ribosomal RNA, 233 nt
Filed under: uncultured bacterium
Lineage: Bacteria
Description: partial 16S ribosomal RNA
Rfam family: Bacterial small subunit ribosomal RNA
Source: RNAcentral
CGGGUGAGUAACGCGUGAGGAACCUGCCUCAAAGAGGGGGACAACAGUUGGAAACGACUGCUAAUACCGCAUAAGCCCACGGCUCGGCAUCGAGCAGAGGGAAAAGGAGUGAUCCGCUUUGAGAUGGCCUCGCGUCCGAUUAGCUAGUUGGUGAGGUAACGGCCCACCAAGGCAACGAUCGGUAGCCGGACUGAGAGGUUGAACGGCCACAUUGGGACUGAGAUACGGCCCAG